Long non-coding RNA from Callorhinus ursinus (northern fur seal), 1052 nucleotides. RefSeq lists it as uncharacterized. The record is from RefSeq and is a predicted model, not a curated record. Lineage: Eukaryota; Metazoa; Chordata; Mammalia; Carnivora; Otariidae.
AUUAUACUUUUCAUCAAGAGUUCCCUCUUAUGUUGCUGCUUCCUGCCCUUCUGGGUUCCUAUGAUAUGUAGUUUCCAUCCUGGUCUCAUCCUGUUUGCCCCUUUGCGUAAAAGCUAAGGAGCCUGGCCCAUAACCUGCCACGGCUUUUCAAAGGCCCCAGAAGUCUGUAAACAGGAAAGAUUUCCUCUGAGGCAGAGGGCCCCUCCUUGAUCAAAAGAUGGCUUUUGGAUAAGGACUUCCCCCCAGUUCUUAGCCAUUAACACUUUGCAGAUCAGACGUUCUCUUGGAGGGCACAUUACUACCAUCCACGGCAGAGGGGCCGGCAUCUUGCCAGGAGUGCAAGGGCCCCACAGAAAUUGCAGGAAGGCCUGUUUCCGGAAGAGGCCCUUCUGCGUACGGAUUAAAGAUGGAGAUCACUACCACGUCUUUUCAAGCCUGUGGGAGGCACUGCAGUAUACUGUGCUAUUCCUUGCCAAGCAGUUUUCUCAGAUGCGCUACCGAAGGCCACUGCUAAUCCAUACUGAGCAUAUUUGCCAUCCUACACAGGGCUACGUCACAGGUUUGCUACAUUCAGGAGAUGGAUGGGGGCCUUUUGUGGAAGGAGGCGAAGAUGGAAUGGUCCUGCUUGCAUUUGCAUCUCGAAUGACUUGGAUUUAUUGUUUUAAACCAAGUUUCCUGCCUGUAAUAGAAUCAUUAAUAGAGCCUUCGUUUUUAUUGGGAACACAUGCGUGUUCAGAAGUGCCUAGUCACAUGUGCUAAGGAAAGGAUACAGAUAGAAGGACAGCACAUUUUAAUCACAUCUCUGUCCCCGUUUACCCUUUGGCAAGUUUCUUUAUCUUUAUAUGUUGUUGGUGAUUUCACUUUAAAAUGGAUCUGGUACAAAUAAACAAUUUCCCAAGGAUGUGUGAAUUAACCAGUGGUUAUAAAGAGCUUUGAAAUGAUGAUGUGCUAUCAAUGCUAAGUCAAAUUAUGAAAUUGCACCUUUGCAAAAAUGCUAUUGUGGAAAUAAAUGAAUCUGAACAUUGUAUUUACAGUGUGAUUUGCCUCUGAAA